CCUGGGGAUCUUGCGCAUGGGGGCAGCCUGACUGCAGCGACGCCGCGUGGGUGAUGAAGGCCUUCGGGUUGUAACCCCUUUUGUGGGGGACGAUAGUGCUGGGGCCCAUUGGAUUGGCCCCUGCCUAUUCCGUGCCAACGGCCCCCGGGAUCAAUCCGGGCCA
Molecule: ribosomal RNA, 163 nt
Filed under: uncultured bacterium
Lineage: Bacteria
Description: partial 16S ribosomal RNA
Source: RNAcentral